RNAcentral lists this long non-coding RNA (1131 nucleotides) under Betta splendens (Siamese fighting fish). Its description in RNAcentral is "lncRNA (ENSBSLG00000015347.1)". Lineage: Eukaryota; Metazoa; Chordata; Actinopteri; Anabantiformes; Osphronemidae. The record is from RNAcentral.
AAGUAAGUACAUGCUUGAUAUUUAUAAUGUUUUAAAAUGUUAGUUUGUCCGUUUAAAAUGUAGUAACCUAUGUGUGAGGCAAGUUACUAGCUAGCUAUGCUAACGGCUACAGCCAGUUGAGCCUUUGUCCCCUUCAAAUGUGCUCAUGUGGGCUCCUGCAGCCACACAGCUGUGUAGAGAAAAGCUAAUGAUUAUCGUAACGGCAUCGAGCGACUACGGGCAGGGAGCGGUGGGUCUAGCGUCUGUCCUUUUUCUGUAAUCGCAUACACCUGCGGGGAACAGCUGAUCGUUAUCGCCCUUCCAGCGGCGACAGACAGGAAGCGGUGGAUCUAGCUCGCUGUAGUAAGUUUGUGCUUGAUACUUGUGAUAUCUAAAAAUGUUAGUUGGGUCUGUUUAAAAUGCAGUAACCCACAUGUGAGACAAGCUAAUCGCUAGCGUCGCUAACGGCUACAGUGAGUCAACCGAGCCUUUGUCCCUUUCAAAUGUGCUACUCUGAGUUGGUGCAAUCACACACCUGUGUGGGGAACAGCUAAUAGCGAUGGGCCUUCGAUCGGCGACAGGCAGGAAGCGGUGGAUCGAGCUUUUGUCCUGUUGACGUGCUGCCGCUCCUGUUUGUGUUGCGUUAGCCGUUAGCAUGCCUUUAGGCCUUUGCACUUUAGAGCUACAGCUGGUCGAUCGCUACAAAAAGAACCUGCAGAUGAACGCGGUUAUGUUUGUUACCCCGUCCUGUGUCACAGCCUAAAUCAACUUGUGAUUUGGGGUUAUGUCAUUGUUCUAUCAAAUUCUAACAUGAUUAGUUGGAAUGAUUACUGUGUUGUGUUUCAAGCUUAGUUGCUAAUUAGUCACAUCUCUACAAUACCUGCUGCUUAUCUGGUCAGUUACCUAUAGCUUGUACCAUAGCCAUUAUAUUUGUAGGACCAAUACAAUUUACAGUAAAUGUAACAGUCUUUUCUAUACUGUAGGAGGGCAAAUCCCAGUUGCCCACAUGCAAGGAGGCUGUCAAACAGAGAAAUCACUGCAGACUGUUGGUACACGGACAUCUGCUGCCCAGCUCAGGAGUAAAGUACCUUUUGUUUUGAUGAGGUGAUGGUGAGGACAGCCACAGCUUCCAUCUGGUAGAGGACUGCUUCC